This 66-nucleotide transfer RNA is filed under the name Neoglyphea inopinata. Its description in RNAcentral is "tRNA-Gly". It matches the Rfam family "tRNA". From Rfam's summary of the family: Transfer RNA (tRNA) molecules are approximately 80 nucleotides in length. Their secondary structure includes four short double-helical elements and three loops (D, anti-codon, and T loops). The record is from RNAcentral. Lineage: Eukaryota; Metazoa; Arthropoda; Malacostraca; Decapoda; Glypheidae.
AUCUUUUUAAUAUAAUUUAAGUAUAUUUGACUUCCAAUCAAAAAGUCUAGUCUUCUAGAAAAGUUA